AGUGAACGCUGGCGGCAGGCCUAAUACAUGCAAGUCGAACGGCAGCACAGCAGAGCUUGCUCUGUGGGUGGCCAGUGGCGGACGGGUGAGGAAUACAUGGGAAUCUGCCCAGUCGUGGGGGAUAACGUAGGGAAACUUACGCUAAUACCGCAUGCGCCCUUCGGGGGAAAGCCGGGGACCUUCGGGCCUGGCGCGAUUGGAUGAGCCCAUGUCGGAUUAGCUAGUUGCGGGGUAAAGGCCCACCAAGGCGACGAUCCGUAGCUGGUCUGAGAGGAUGAUCAGCCACACUGGAACUGAGACACGGGUCCAGACUCCUACGGGGAGGCAGCAGUAGGGGAAUAUUCGGACAAUGGGCGCAAGCCUGAUCCAGCCAUGCCGCGUGAGUGAAGAAGGCCCUCGGGUUGUAAAGCUCUUUUGUCCGGAAAGAAAGCGCCGGGUUAANACCCUGGUGUCCUGACGGUACCGAAGAAUAAGCACCGGCUAACUUCGUGCCAGCAGCCGUACGG
RNAcentral lists this ribosomal RNA (506 nucleotides) under uncultured bacterium. RNAcentral's name for it is "bacterial SSU rRNA". It matches the Rfam family "Bacterial small subunit ribosomal RNA", at positions 29 to 520 of the family's 1533-position model. The record is from RNAcentral.